This 1158-nucleotide long non-coding RNA is filed under the name Bos indicus x Bos taurus (hybrid cattle). Its description in RNAcentral is "lncRNA (ENSBIXG00000000355.1)". Lineage: Eukaryota; Metazoa; Chordata; Mammalia; Artiodactyla; Bovidae. The record is from RNAcentral.
AUGCCCGCGGGCGUGGCAGUUGCCCCCUCACGGCCGAGCGCCCCGCCGCUGGCUGAGGACAGAGCAGGAGGGACGGGACUCACCCUGUGGCUCCGGCCGGGGCCCCGAGGGCGGCAGCGGCGGCUCCUGGUGCUGCAGCGGGGAGGUGGAGGCAGAGGCCGAGGCCGACGUGAUGAGGAGCCUCUGGAAGCGGUUGGGCGGGCGGCAGGGCACCUCCAGGCCGGCCGCCAGCUUGGCCUUGUUGGCGCUGGUGAGCCUCUUGAGGUGCACGAGCAGCUGCGGCUGGUCGCGGCGGAAGUGCGGGCUGUGGAAGUGGUGGAGCGGCCCGUCGCCCGCCGGCCCGCCGCCCCCAGGCCCCGGCCCGGGCCCCGCCGCGCCCGGCCCGCCCAGCACCACCUUGCGGAAGCCGUAGAGGUUGAGCUGGCGGAUGAAGCUGGUGAAGUUGGUGGUUUUGAAGAGCUCGGGCUCGGCCCCGGCGCCCCCGACGCCGCCCCCGCCGCCGGCGCCCCCGGCCCCGCCGCCCCCGGCCCCCGCCCCGGGCGGGCUGAGCAGCUCGGCCUCGAAGAGCGGCUGGUCGAUGAGCAGCCCCUCACCACGGCCGUCCCAGCGGAUCGAGCGGUACCGGGGACUGUUCACCAGCCGCCACAGCUUGGCGGGGAAGUUGUUGGGAUUGAUGGGGGUGGAGAGCAGCGCCUCCUCCAUCGCCCCGCCCGGGCCCUGGGCCUCGCCCCGCCGAGCCUGGCUCUCCCACCCCGUUCUCGAUCUCCCCCCUCCCCCCUCCGCGGCCUUCGCUCCGCCCUGCCCCCUCCAACCAGCACCCCGCCGUCGCGGACCCGGGGACCGUUGGCGCACGAGCCCCCCCGCGGCGCCUGCCAGCGCGGCCAAUGGGGCCUCGAGUUGCCGCUGCGCGGCAGCACUUGGCGCGAGCCGACCCGCCCCUUACACCCGCGCCACGUGCACCACGGAGAAGGUACGCUCGCUCGGCGCUCGCUCGGCGGCCUCCCGAGGGAGCCGGAGGCGCUGGGGCCCGGGGCCCGCGGGCCGGUGUCCCGUACUGCAGAGAGAUCCGCUGGGGUAUCCGCGGCGGAAUGCGGAGACCUGUGUACUUCACCGCUACCGGCAGCGGGGCUGUGGGGCUUUAGAAUUCAGGAAGUGUGA